GGGCCUGUACCGGUUUCGACGGGGAUUUUGAAGCACGAUAAGCGCGGCAAGCCGGGUAAUCUUGCAAACUGCCCAAACUUAAAAGUAAACGCUAAUAAUAACGAUUACGCAAUGGCUGCCUAACGGCAGUGCCGCGGCUUUUUAGCCGCCCGUCUUACCCGUGAGUAUCACGGCACGGGAUAAGGCGUCGACAAGUGAUGAACGUGAGCCGCAAUUUCGCCAUUGUAACGGCCACGCAUAAAAUGGCUACCUUUCCGAGAGCGUGUUUACCCGCGCUCGGACGGGGAAGCUCAAACGAUAAACUGUCCGCGAAGAAAGUCUUGUGAAUAGGUUUUCGGACACGGGUUCGACUCCCGCCAGGUCCACCA
Molecule: transfer-messenger RNA, 368 nt
Filed under: Clostridiales bacterium
Lineage: Bacteria; Bacillati; Bacillota; Clostridia; Eubacteriales
Rfam family: transfer-messenger RNA
About the family: Bacterial tmRNA, also known as 10Sa RNA or SsrA, is named for its dual tRNA and mRNA-like properties. Its role is to liberate the mRNA from a stalled ribosome. To accomplish this part of the tmRNA is used as a reading frame that ends in a translation stop signal.
Source: RNAcentral